Molecule: ribosomal RNA, 253 nt
Filed under: uncultured bacterium
Lineage: Bacteria
Description: partial 16S ribosomal RNA
Rfam family: Bacterial small subunit ribosomal RNA
Source: RNAcentral
UACAGAGGUCUCAAGCGUUGUUCGGAUUUAUUGGGCGUAAAGAGCGUGUAGGCGGCCAGGUAGGUCUGCUGUGAAAACUCGAGGCUCAACCUCGAGACGUCGGCGGAAACCAUCUGGCUAGAGUCCGGAAGAGGAGAAUGGAAUUCCUGGUGUAGCGGUGAAAUGCGCAGAUAUCAGGAAGAACACCCGUGGCGAAGGCGGCUCUCUGGGACGGUACUGACGCUGAGACGCGAAAGCGUGGGGAGCGAACAGG